RNAcentral lists this ribosomal RNA (818 nucleotides) under uncultured Streptococcus sp. RNAcentral describes it as "bacterial SSU rRNA". It matches the Rfam family "Bacterial small subunit ribosomal RNA", at positions 30 to 831 of the family's 1533-position model. The record is from RNAcentral. Lineage: Bacteria; Bacillati; Bacillota; Bacilli; Lactobacillales; Streptococcaceae.
CGAACGCUGGCGGCGUGCCUAAUACAUGCGAGUAGAACGCUGAAGAGAGGAGCUUGCUCUUCUUGGAUGAGUUGCGAACGGGUGAGUAACGCGUAGGUAACCUGCCUGGUAGCGGGGGAUAACUAUUGGAAACGAUAGCUAAUACCGCAUGAUAUUAAUUGUCGCAUGAUAAUUAAUUGAAAGAUGCAAUUGCAUCACUACCAGAUGGACCUGCGUUGUAUUAGCUAGUUGGUGAGGUAACGGCUCACCAAGGCGACGAUACAUAGCCGACCUGAGAGGGUGAUCGGCCACACUGGGACUGAGACACGGCCCAGACUCCUACGGGAGGCAGCAGUAGGGAAUCUUCGGCAAUGGGGGGAACCCUGACCGAGCAACGCCGCGUGAGUGAAGAAGGUUUUCGGAUCGUAAAGCUCUGUUGUAAGAGAAGAACGGGUGUGAGAGUGGAAAGUUCACACUGUGACGGUAUCUUACCAGAAAGGGACGGCUAACUACGUGCCAGCAGCCGCGGUAAUACGUAGGUCCCGAGCGUUGUCCGGAUUUAUUGGGCGUAAAGCGAGCGCAGGCGGUUAGAUAAGUCUGAAGUUAAAGGCUGUGGCUUAACCGUAGUAUGCUUUGGAAACUGUUUAACUUGAGUGCAGAAGGGGAGAGUGGAAUUCCAUGUGUAGCGGUGAAAUGCGUAGAUAUACGGAGGAACACCGGUGGCGAAAGCGGCUCUCUGGUCUGUAACUGACGCUGAGGCUCGAAAGCGUGGGGAGCAAACAGGAUUAGAUACCCUGGUAGUCCACGCCGUAAACGAUGAGUGCUAGGUGUUAGGCCCU